CACGUAGGGUGCGAGCGUUGUCCGGAAUUAUUGGGCGUAAAGAGCUCGUAGGCGGUGUGUCGCGUCGGCCGUGAAAACCUGCAGCUUAACUGUGGGCUUGCGGUCGAUACGGGCAUCACUGGAGUUCGGCAGGGGAGACUGGAAUUCCUGGUGUAGCGGUGAAAUGCGCAGAUAUCGAGAGGAACACCUGCGGCGAAGGCGGGUUGCUGGGCUGACACUGACGCUGAUGCGCGAAAGCCAGGGGAGCGAACGGG
This 254-nucleotide ribosomal RNA is filed under the name uncultured bacterium. RNAcentral describes it as "partial 16S ribosomal RNA". It matches the Rfam family "Bacterial small subunit ribosomal RNA", at positions 524 to 776 of the family's 1533-position model. The record is from RNAcentral.